This 256-nucleotide ribosomal RNA is filed under the name uncultured bacterium. RNAcentral's name for it is "partial 16S ribosomal RNA". It matches the Rfam family "Bacterial small subunit ribosomal RNA", at positions 524 to 776 of the family's 1533-position model. The record is from RNAcentral.
UACGUAGGAGGCGAGCGUUGUCCGGAUUUAUUGGGCGUAAAGCGCACGUAGGCGGUUCGUUAAGUCGGAUGUGAAAGCCCUCGGCCUCAACUGAGGAAGUGCACCCGAAACUGGCGAGCUUGAGUACGAAAGAGGAUCGCGGAAUUCCCGGGUGUAGAGGUGAAAUUCGUAGAUAUCGGAAGGAACACCGGUGGCGAAGGCGGCGAUCGUGGGUCGAUACGUGACGCUGAGGUGCGAAAGCGUGGGGAGAAACAGG